This 229-nucleotide ribosomal RNA is filed under the name uncultured bacterium. Its description in RNAcentral is "partial 16S ribosomal RNA". It matches the Rfam family "Bacterial small subunit ribosomal RNA", at positions 568 to 796 of the family's 1533-position model. The record is from RNAcentral.
UGCGCAGGCGGAAUAAUUAGUCAGUGGUGAAAUCUCCCGGCUCAACCGGGAAACUGCCAUUGAUACUGUUAUUCUUGAGUAUAGUUGUAGUGGGCGGAAUAUAGCAUGUAGCGGUGAAAUGCUUAGAUAUGCUAUAGAACACCGAUCGCGAAGGCAGCUCACUAAACUAUAACUGACGCUCAGGCACGAAAGCGUAGGGAGCAAACAGGAUUAGAUACCCUGGUAGUCC